RNAcentral lists this long non-coding RNA (297 nucleotides) under Lupinus angustifolius (narrow-leaved blue lupine). Its description in RNAcentral is "long non-coding RNA (LANG_LNC000142)". Lineage: Eukaryota; Viridiplantae; Streptophyta; Magnoliopsida; Fabales; Fabaceae. The record is from RNAcentral.
CUCCAUAUCAAACUUUCAUAAGGUUAGCCUUAUCAGGAAUAGAAAACAUGCAAUUCAAUUCUUAUUAGAAAAGAAACUUUGAUACAACAAAUGAUACUUUGGCAGUCUUUCCCAAAGCUUAAACACACACAAAACAUAAAUACAUCACUUUAUUGGUGCAUGACAAUUUUAAAUAGAAGAAAAGGUAAAACAUUGAGGGUGCACAUAUGUUUCACAAAUUGUCAUUUAAUGAACAAUUUAUUGGGAUUGUUUAAAAAAAUAUUUAACUAUUAAAUUUUUAAGUUAAAUAUUUUUUUU